RNAcentral lists this transfer RNA (59 nucleotides) under Aedes aegypti (yellow fever mosquito). It matches the Rfam family "tRNA", at positions 7 to 64 of the family's 71-position model. Rfam says of the family: Transfer RNA (tRNA) molecules are approximately 80 nucleotides in length. The record is from Rfam by way of RNAcentral. Lineage: Eukaryota; Metazoa; Arthropoda; Insecta; Diptera; Culicidae.
GAAGCUCAGUUGGUAAAGCACUCGUCUAGCAUACUAGAGUCGUGGGUACGAUUCCCACC